CAAUAGCGUAUAUUAAAGUUGUUGCAGUUAAAAAGCUCGUAGUUGGAUUUCUGGUGGGAGCGAUCGGUCUGGCGCUUAGCGCGAGUACUUGCAUCGUCUCCGGCCAUCCUUGGGGAAAGUCUGUCUGGCAUUAAGUUGUCGGGCAGAGGAUCCUCAUCGUUUACUGUGAAAAAAUUAGAGUGUUCAAAGCAGGCUUAUGCCGUUGAAUAUAUUAGCAUGGAAUAAUAGGAUAGGACUUUGGUACUAUUUUGUUGGUUUGCGCACCAAAGUAAUGAUUAAUAGGGACAGUUGGGGGUAUUCGUAUUCCGUUGUCGGAGGUGAAAUUCUUGGAUUUACGGAAGACGAACUACUGCGAAAGCAUUUACCAAGGAUGUUUUCAUUAA
This 383-nucleotide ribosomal RNA is filed under the name uncultured eukaryote. RNAcentral describes it as "partial 18S ribosomal RNA". It matches the Rfam family "Eukaryotic small subunit ribosomal RNA", at positions 592 to 976 of the family's 1831-position model. The record is from RNAcentral.